RNAcentral lists this ribosomal RNA (349 nucleotides) under Hyperolius guttulatus (dotted reed frog). RNAcentral's name for it is "partial 12S ribosomal RNA". It matches the Rfam family "Bacterial small subunit ribosomal RNA", at positions 866 to 1403 of the family's 1533-position model. Lineage: Eukaryota; Metazoa; Chordata; Amphibia; Anura; Hyperoliidae. The record is from RNAcentral.
AAAACGCCCAAGAACUACGAGCACAAGCUUAAAACUUAAAGGACUUGACGGUGUCCAUCUAACUAGAGGAGCCUGUUCUGUAAUCGAUAAUCCUCGUUAUACCUCACCUUUUUUUGCUUAUCAGUCUGUAUACUUUCGCGAAGCUUACCAUCUGAAUGUAUUAGUAAGCUAAAUAGUUAAAACGUCAGGUCAAAGUGCAGCCACCAAAAAAGGAAGAAAUGGGCUACAAUUUCUAUUUAAGAAUAUACAAGUACAUGAAAAUACUAUGAAGGUGGAUUUAGAAGUAAAAUGAAAAUAAAGUGUUCAAUUUAAUAAUGCCCUGGGACGUGUACACACCGCCCGUCACCCU